RNAcentral lists this ribosomal RNA (329 nucleotides) under uncultured bacterium. Its description in RNAcentral is "bacterial SSU rRNA". It matches the Rfam family "Bacterial small subunit ribosomal RNA", at positions 29 to 351 of the family's 1533-position model. The record is from RNAcentral.
AGUGAACGCUGGCGGCGUGCUUAACACAUGCAAGUCGAGCGAUUUUCUGCAGUGUACCGCAGAAGAUAGCGGCAGACGGGUGAGUAAUACUUGGGCAAUCUGCCCUCGAGAGGGAAACAACCUGCCGAAAGGUGGGCUAAUGUCCCGUAAGACCACAGGAUGGCAUCAUCUAGGGGUCAAAGCUCCGCAAGGGGCGCUUGAGGAGGAGCCUGAGGCCUAUCAGGUAGUUGGCGGGGUAACGGCCCACCAAGCCUUUGACGGGUAGCCGGCCUGAAGGGUGAUCGGCCACACUGGCACUGAGACACGGGCCAGACUCCUACGGGAGGCAG